RNAcentral lists this ribosomal RNA (466 nucleotides) under uncultured bacterium. Its description in RNAcentral is "partial 16S ribosomal RNA". It matches the Rfam family "Bacterial small subunit ribosomal RNA", at positions 28 to 507 of the family's 1533-position model. The record is from RNAcentral.
GAUGAACGCUGGCGGCGUGCUUAACACAUGCAAGUCGAACGAUGAAGCCCAGCUUGCUGGGUGGAUUAGUGGCGAACGGGUGAGUAACACGUGAGUAACCUGCCCUUAACUCUGGGAUAAGCCUGGGAAACUGGGUCUAAUACCGGAUAGGAGCGUCCACCGCAUGGUGGGUGUUGGAAAGAUUUAUCGGUUUUGGAUGGACUCGCGGCCUAUCAGCUUGUUGGUGAGGUAAUGGCUCACCAAGGCGACGACGGGUAGCCGGCCUGAGAGGGUGACCGGCCACACUAGGACUGAGACACGGCCCAGACUCCUACGGGAGGCAGCAGUGGGGAAUAUUGCACAAUGGGCGCAAGCCUGAUGCAGCGACGCCGCGUGAGGGAUGACGGCCUUCGGGUUGUAAACCUCUUUCAGUAGGGAAGAAGCGAAAGUGACGGUACCUGCAGAAGAAGCACCGGCUAACUACGUG